AGUGAACGCUGGCGGUAGGCCUAACACAUGCAAGUCGAACAGCAGCACAGUAAGAGCUUGCUCUUACGGGUGGCGAGUGGCGGACGGGUGAGGAAUACAUCGGAAUCUACUUUUUCGUGGGGGAUAACGUAGGGAAACUUACGCUAAUACCGCAUACGACCUACGGGUGAAAGCAGGGGAUCUUCGGACCUUGCGCGAUUGAAUGAGCCGAUGUCGGAUUAGCUAGUUGGCGGGGUAAAGGCCCACCAAGGCGACGAUCCGUAGCUGGUCUGAGAGGAUGACCAGCCACACUGGAACUGAGACACGGUCCAGACUCCUACGGGAGGCAACAGUGGGGAAUAUUGGACAAUGGGCGCUAGCCUGAUCCAGCCAUACCGCGUGGGUGCAGAAGGCCUUCGGGUUGUAAAGCCCUUUUGUUGGGAAAGAAAAGCAGCAGGUUAAUACCCCGCUGUUCUGACGGUACCCAAAGAAUAAGCACCGGCUAACUUCGUG
This 492-nucleotide ribosomal RNA is filed under the name uncultured bacterium. Its description in RNAcentral is "partial 16S ribosomal RNA". It matches the Rfam family "Bacterial small subunit ribosomal RNA", at positions 29 to 507 of the family's 1533-position model. The record is from RNAcentral.